GCUACAUCAGACUGCAGCGGCAAAGAGCCAUCCUCUAUAAGCAGCUCAAAGUACCUCCUGUCAUCAUCCAGUUCACCCAGGCCCUGGACAGGCAAACAGCGACUCAUCUGCUUGAGCUCGACCACCAAGUACAGGCCAGAGACAAAGCAGGAGAAGAAGCAAAGGCUUCUGGCCCAUGCUGAGAAGAAAGCUGCUGGCAAAGGGGACGUCCCAACUGAGAGACCACCUGUCCUCCGAGCAGGGGUCAAUACAGUCACCUCCUUGGUGGAGAACAAGAA
RNAcentral lists this long non-coding RNA (278 nucleotides) under Rattus norvegicus (Norway rat). RNAcentral's name for it is "long non-coding RNA NONRATT019012". The record is from RNAcentral. Lineage: Eukaryota; Metazoa; Chordata; Mammalia; Rodentia; Muridae.